GCAGCCCGAAGAACCAGGGCUGCAUGCUAAGUGGCCGGAGGCAGCAGUACGACUCAGGACAGACCCAGGAGGGAGGACUGGACCUGUGUGCAGCCAGGAGAACCCAGAGGCUGGCCCUGCCCGGGGACGUGAUGGCUGGAGCCCCUUCCCCCAACAGCUUCUUAGAGACCACGAAGGAGAGAUCAAGGCCAUGACGGCAACCUCAGCUCCCAUAUCCCCAAGGACGGAACCUCCAUCAGAACUUCUCUUCACGAGAAAAAGAAAACCUUUGUGGAUUCGAGCCACUGUAGCUGCCUCUCUGUUAUUAGCAGUAGAAUGAAAUUCCUACCUGGUACAACCACUACACGACGGCCUGUGGGAUGUAUCCAGCUGAAUAACACGAGUCUCUCAGGCUCAGUGCGUCUGGGGCUGGGCCCUACCAUCUUUCUGUCAACGAACUUCUUACUGGGGAACCCACAUAUCCGGGGGAAAGAGAACUAACAGUACCAGAGCUGCACCUGCUCACGCACCGACCACCUUUCUAUUUGUCCAGCCACCCCUGUAUCUGUCUGUCUGUCUGUCCAUCCAUCCAACAUCCAUCUAUCCACCCGUUUGUGUGCAUGCAUGUAUCCGACGGACUUUAAUCAAGCAUCUUCUGAGUACUGGGCCCUCUGCUAGACACAGGAGCUAGAGAUGUGAAGAAUAUAUUUUAUUUCAUGCCCAUUUGCUUCUAGAUGAGCAGAAUGUUCGGAAGCUGGAAACAAUGACUGUCCCCACAGAGGGAGAUUAGGCAUCCGGAAACACGGGCAUUUAUUCCUUUCGAACCCUUUGAGUUUUGCCUCAUGCGUAU
This 829-nucleotide long non-coding RNA is filed under the name Mustela putorius furo (domestic ferret). RNAcentral describes it as "lncRNA (ENSMPUG00000025122.1)". Lineage: Eukaryota; Metazoa; Chordata; Mammalia; Carnivora; Mustelidae. The record is from RNAcentral.